GGUUUUUUGGGAUAAUGAAAAAUCUGACCUGCCCAAUGGGGGCUUAAUGGCCGCAGUAUUGUGACUGUGCUAAGGUAGCAUAAUAAUUAGUUUUGUAAUUUGAGACUGGAAUGAAGGGUUGGACGAAGGAAAGACUGUUUCUGAGAAAAAAGUUGAAGUUUAUUUAUGUUGUGAGAAAGCAACAGUGUUGUUGAGGGACGAGAAGACCCUAUUAAGUUUUAUAUGGUGAGAUUAUAAAAAAGGAAAAUUAUUGAUUUUUAGUUGGAGCUGUAUUUUGCUGGGGCGGCGCUGAAAGAGGAAAUCUUUCGGAGGUUGAAAGAAAAGCGUGGAUCCAUCAGGAUUGAUGAGAGGAGGAUUAAAUUACUAUAGGGAUAACAGCGUAAUAUUGUUUGAGAGCUCUUAUUGAUAACAAAUUUUGCGACCUCGAUGUUGAAUUAAAAUACCUUCUUCGGUGAAGUAGCUGGGAAAGGAGGUCUGUUCGACCUUUGAAAUUUUACA
RNAcentral lists this ribosomal RNA (498 nucleotides) under Phrynus marginemaculatus (Florida whipspider). RNAcentral's name for it is "partial large subunit ribosomal RNA". It matches the Rfam family "Bacterial large subunit ribosomal RNA", at positions 1831 to 2600 of the family's 2925-position model. Lineage: Eukaryota; Metazoa; Arthropoda; Arachnida; Amblypygi; Phrynidae. The record is from RNAcentral.